Molecule: long non-coding RNA, 8153 nt
Filed under: Triticum aestivum (bread wheat)
Lineage: Eukaryota; Viridiplantae; Streptophyta; Magnoliopsida; Poales; Poaceae
Description: long non-coding RNA (TAES_LNC001777)
Source: RNAcentral
GCUAGCCCCCGAGUUAAGUUGAACGAAUCACUGCAGACCGUAUUGUCAGUAGUACGUUAGUGGCUGCGUGCUGUUCUAUUUUGGUUUGCUCCGUGUGUGCUACUAUAACUGUCCAUUCCCAGUGGCUUUAUACAUGAACCAUGGUUAUGGGCCUUCACUAAUUAGCACCCGAUGAUUCGCCCUUGAGUGAAAUGCGUUGAAGAACCUAAUUUUUGAGUAAGACCUGUGAGAGGAUUUGGGGCACACGGAUCUGGGGCACGCGGAUUCUUUGCCGUUGAAGUUGGUCUCUGUAUUUCGUGUAUUCGUCGGUGUAUAUCAGUAAACAUUCGCAUCGUAAAGUUAAAGUAUUAAACUUGUUUCUGUUGAUUCGUUUACAAAGGUACAUAUAUUUCGAUAAACAGUAUCUGUAAAAAUGCACAUUAAAAGCUAGACUUUUGCUGAAAGCGUUAUGUGUUCUUCUCUUCAUAUAUGUUCUAUAAGUACCCACUGCUUCUCCUUUCCUUUUUAUUUUGAAAGGUCUAGCAUCAGCAAAAUAAUAAGGUGGUGAAGGUCCUAAGACCAAAAGACCCGAAGGUCAAAGAAAAAGAAAACAUCAGCCCUAAUAGCUGUAGCACAACACUCAAAAGAAAACCACAUAAGACAACACAACUCCGACUCCGGUGGUGAACUGCAAAGAGAGUAGGCAAGGUUAGCGUCACAGAGGAUCGCAAAACGAACCACCUAUCACGCGUCAUUGUAUACCACCGGUGCCCCGCCACCGCGGCUUCGACUUCACAGCAACAAACAGUCGAGGCAACCCCACCGAUAAGACGGAGAAGAAGAGCCGACUACCACGACCAAUGCCACGCCUUCGACAUGCUCACUACCGUCAUUUGUUGCCACAUAAGUCACCGUGCACGUCCAGUCAUAGGAAGCACCAAUGGGAACAACGUUCAAGACGAUGCCACCGCCCGACCCUGCAGCAGGAUCUGAGCUUUCACCCGAAGAAAUUGAUCUGCGAGUAGAGGCUCUGAAAUUCCCUAUGACGCCUCCAAGGAUGAUAACGACGCCCACGGGCGCCGUCGCCGCCGGCCGGCCAGCACCAGCCAGGCUUUCACCCAGGGCGGCCACUCCCACGCAGCAGGUCGAGGUCGACCCGUGCCUCCACUGGACCGCGCACCCCCCACACAGCAAGCGCGCCACCGUUGUGUAGGGCCACCAGCUAGCCUCCCCGACGACGUGCCUCCAGAUACCAGAUCGGGUCGUGCACCCCGCAUCCAACCGUGGCCAGAGCCUCCCUGCUCCAGCACCGCCCCCGUUCGCGAACUGACCGCGAUCACCAUGCGCCGCUACACCUAGAUCCGCGCUGCCUAGAGGCCUCCAGCCCAGCACGCCUCCUACGUGCCAGAUCAACGCAUCCCGGAGCCCCAUGCGCGCCCCUCGCGACUGGCAUGCCGCUGAUCCACCCGGAAGCGACGCCUAAGCACCAUGUGCACGCGGCUCCUCAGAUCUGGCCGUCGCACCGUGUCGCAACCACCGUACGCCACGCUCCCCUGCAAACGAGCGCUCCCGCGAGCUCGCGGGCGCCCAUCGCCUCCGCCGGCUCCAGCUUGCCUCAUGCCUCCACGAGCCAUGCGCACGCCCGCGCGUCUCCGCCAGCUCCCCGCACCGUCCCAACACCCCCUACAGACGAGCGCCCUGCACCGCCCGAGCUACACGAGAGGGCGAAACCGAGAGGCCCACCACCGACGACCCCAUGCGUGAUUUGCCCGACUGCGGAAGGGGAGGGAGGCGGGGGGAGGCGGGGGAGGGGGAGUUCGGGGGCAGCUAGGGUUAGCGCCCGAGUCGCCCGCGGGAGGGCGACGCAGGGCUCCACAACGAGAUAAACAUGUAUUCUCUCUUUAGAACUCUUGUUCUUCUCUUUUUAGAACUCUUGUGUUCUAAUAGUACAGCUGGUGGCACAAUGAAAUGCAUAAUCUGGAACUUGCGGGGGUUCGGGCAGAGGGAUUGCCGGCGGCAACUGCUGCCUCUUGAGCACUGCAUUGGUUUUCCCUUAAAGAGGAAAGGGUGAUUGAUAACCCACAAGUAUAGGGGAUCGCAAAAGUUUUCGAGGAUAAAGUAUUCAACCCAAAUUAAUUGAUUCGACACAAGGGGAGCCAAAGAAUACUCUCAAGUAUUAGCAGCUGAGUUGUCAAUUCAACCACACCUGGAAACUUAGUAUCUGCUGCAAAGUGUUUAGUAGCAAAGUAAUAUGAUAGUAGUGGUAACGGUAACAAAAGGUAACGGUAGCAAAAGUAAUGUUUUUGGUAUUUUGUAGUGAUGAUAGCAAUAGCAACGGAAAAGUAAACGAGCGAAGAACAAUAUAUGGAAAGCUCGUAGGCAAUGGAUCGGUGAUGGAGAAUUAUGCCGGAUGCGGUUCAUCAUGUAACAGUCAUAACCUAGGGUGACACAGAACUAGCUCCAGUUCAUUGAUAUAAUGUAGGCAUGUAUUCCGUGCAUAGUCAUACAUGCUUAUGGAAAAGAACUUGCAUGCCAUCUUUUGUCCUACCCUCCCGUGGCAGCGGGGUCCUUACGGAAACUAAGGGAUAUUAAGGCCUCCUUUUAAUAGAGUACCGGAACAAAGCAUUAACACAUAGUGAAUACAUGAACUUCUCAAACUACGGUCAUCACCGGUAAGUAUCCCGAUUAUUGUCACUUCGGGGUUAAUGGAUCAUAACACAUAAUAGGUGACUAUAGACUUGCAAGGUAGGAUCAAGAACACUCAUAUAUUGAUGAAAACAUAAUAGGUUCAGAUCUGAAAUCAUGGCACUCGGGCCCUACUGACAAGCAUUAAGCAUAGCAAAGUCAUAGCAACAUCAAUCUCAGAACAUAGUGGAUACUAGGGAUCAAACCCUAACAAAACUAACUCGAUUACAUGAUAGAUCCCAUCCAACCCAUCACCGUGCAGCAAGCCUACGAUGGAAUUACUCACGCAUGGCGGUGAGCAUCAUGAAAUUGGUGAUGGAUGAUGGUUGAUGAUGACGAUGGCGAUGGAUUCCCCUCUCCGGAGCCCCGAACGGACUCCAGAUCAGCCCUCCCGAGAGGUUUUAGGGCUUGGCGGCGGCUCCGUAUCGUAAAACGCGAUGAUUUCUUCACUCUGAUUUUUUUUCUCCCCGAAACACAAUAUAUGGAGUUGGAGUUAGAGUUGGAGUCGGAGAGGCAACAGGGGGCCCACGAGGUAGGGGGGCACGCCCUAGGGGGGCAGCGCACCCCCCACCCUCGUGGACAGGUGGUGGGCCCCCUGGCCUUCAUCUUUUGCAGGUAUUUUUCAUAUUUUCUGAAAAGUUGCUCCGUGAAGUUUCAGGUCAUUCCGAGAACGUUUGUUCCUGCACAUAAAUAACACCAUGGUAAUUUUGCCGAAAACAGCGUCAGUCCGGGUUAGUUCCAUUCAAAUCAUGCAAGUUAGAGUCCAAAACAAGGGCAAAAGUGUUUGGAAAAGUAGAUACGUUGGAGACGUAUCAGUGAUGCAGCAAAGUAGCGUAAGUAUUUCCCUUAGUUUUUGAGAACCAAGGUAUCAAUCCAGUAGGAGGCUACACGCGAGUCCCUCGUACCUGCACAAAGCAAACAACUCCUCGCAACCAAUGCGAUAAGGGGUUGUCAAUCCCUUCACGGUCACUUACGAGAGUGAGAUCUGAUAGAUAUGAUAAGAUAAUUUUUUUGGUCUUUUUGUGAUAAAGAUGCAAAGUAAAAUAAAAAGCAAAGGAAAUAACUAAAUAUUGGAAGAUUAAUAUGAUGAAGAUAGACCCGAGGGCCAUAGGUUUCACUAGUGGCUUCUCUCAAGAGCAUAAGUAUUUUACGGUGGGUGAACGAAUUACUGUUGAGCAAUUGACAGAAUUGAGCAUAGUUAUGAGAAUAUCUAGGUAUGAUCAUGUAUAUAGGCAUCAUGUCCGAUACAAGUAGACCGACUCCUGCCUGCAUCUACUACUAUUACUCCACUCAUCGACCGCUAUCCAAUAUGCAUCUAGAGUAUUAAGUUCAUGAAAAAAGAGUAACGCCUUAAGCAAGAUGACAUGAUGUAGAGGGAUAAAUUCAUGCAAUAUGAUAAAAACCCCAUCUUGUUAUCCUCGAUGGCAACAAUACAAUACGUGCCUUGCUGCCCCUACUAUCACUGGGAAAGGACACCGCAAGAUUGAACCCAAAACUAAGCACUUCUCCCAUUGCAAGAAAGAUCAAUCUAGUAGGCCAAACCAAACUGAUAAUUCGAAGAGACUUGCAAAGAUAACCAAUCAUAUAUAAAAGAAUUCAGAGAAGAUUCAAAUAUUGUUCAUAGAUAAUCUUUAUCAUAAACCCACAAUUCAUUGGUCUCAAUAAACACACCGCAAAAAGAAGAUUACAUCGAAUAGAUCUCCACAAGAGAGGGGGAGAACAUUGUAUUGAGAUCCAAAAAGAGAUAAGAAGCCAUCUAGCUAAUAAUUAUGGACCCGAAGGUCUGAGGUAAACUACUCACACUUCAUCGAAGAGGCUGUGGUGUUGAUGUAGGAGCCCUCCGUGAUGGAUGCCCCCUCCGGCGGAGCUCCGGAACAGGCCCCAAGAUGGGAUCUCGUGGAUACAGAAAGUUACGGCGGUGGAAUUAGGGUUUCAUCUUUUGCAGGUAUUUUUCAUAUUUUUUGAAAAGUUGGUCCGUGAAGUUUCAGGUCAUUCCGAGAAUGUUUGUUCCUACACUUAAAUAACACCAUGGUAAUUCUGCUGAGAAAAGCGUCAGUCUGGGUUAGUUCCAUUCAAAUCAUGCAAGUUAGAGUCCAAAACAAGGGCAAAAGUGUUUGGAAAAGUAGAUACGUUGGAGAUGUAUCAACUCCCCCAAGCUUAAACCUUUGCUUGUCCUCAAGCAAUUCAGUUGACAAACUGAAAGUGAUAAAGAAAAACUUUUACAAACUAUGUUUGCUCUUGUUGUUGUAAAUAUGUAAAGCCAGCAUUCAAGUUUUCAACAAAGAUUAUAACUAACCACAUUUGCAAUAACGCAUAGGUCUCAAGUUUACUCAUAUCAAUAGCAUAAUCAACUAGCGAGCCAUAAUAAUAAAUCUCGGAUGACAACACUUUCUCAAAACAAUCAUAAUAUGAUAUAACAAGGUGGUAUCUCGCUAGCCCUUUCUGAUACCGCAAAACAUAAAUGCAGAGCACCUUUAAAGACCAAGGACUAACUAGACAUUGUAAUUCAUGGUAAAAGAGAUCCAGUCAAGUCAUACUCAAUGUAAACUAACAAUAAUGAAUGCAAAUGACAUCGGUGCUCUCCAACUGGUGCUUUUCAAUAAGAGGAUGAUGGCUCAACAUAAAAGUAAAUAGAUAGGCCCUUCGCGGAGGGAAGCAUGGAUUUGUAGAGGUGCCAGAGCUCGGUUUUGAAACAGAGGUGAAUAAUAUUUUGAGCAGUAUACUUUCAUUGUCAACUUAACAACAAAGAGAUGGCGAUAUCUUCCAUGCUACACACAUUAUAGGCGGUUCCCAAACAGAAUGGUAAAGUUUAUACUCCCCCUUCCACCAACAAGCAUCAAUCCAUGGCUUGCUCGAAACAACGAGUGCCUCCAACUAACAAGAGUCCCAGGGGGAGUUUUGUUUGCAAUUAUUUUGAUUUAGUUUGCAUAAAGCAUGGGACUGGGCAUCCCGGUGACCAGCCAUUUAUCUCGUGAGUGAGGAGCGGAGUCCACUCCUCUUGAGAAUAACCCGCCUAACAUGGAAGAUACGGACAUCCCUAGUUGAUACAUGAGCUAUUCGAGCAUACAAAAUAGGAUAUUUAUUUGAAGGUUUAGAGUUUGGCACAUACAAAUUUACUUGGAACGGCAGGUAGAUACCGUAUAUAGGUAGGUAUAGUGGACUCAUGUGGAAUAACUUUGGGGUUUAAGGGAUUGGAUGCACAAGCAGUAUUCCCGCUUAGUACAGGUGAAGGCUAGCAAAAGACUGGGAAGCGACCAGCUAGAGAGCGACAACAGUCAUGAACAUGCAUUAAAAUUAAUCAACACCGAAUGCAAGCAUGAGUAGGAUAUAAUCCACCAUGAACAUAAAUAUCGUGAAGGCUAUGUUGAUUUUGUUUCAACUACAUGCGUGAACACAUGCCAAGUCAAGUCACUUAAAUCAUUCAGAGGAGGAUACCACCCUAUCAUACCACAUCAUAACCAUCUCAAUAGCAUGUUGGCACGCAAGGUAAACCAUUAUAACUCAUAGCUAAUCAAGCAUGGCACAAGAAACUAUGAUCUCUAGUUGUCAUUGCAAACAUGUUUAUUCAUAAUAGGCUGAAUCAGGAACGAUGAACUAAUCAUAUUUACAAAAACAAAAGAGGUCGAGUUCAUACCAGCUUUUCUCAUCUCAGCCAGUCCAUCAUAUGUCAUCAUAAUUGCCUUUCACUUACACGACCGAAUGAUGUGAAUAAUAAUAAUAGUGCACGUGCAUUGGACUAAGCUAGAAUAUGCAGGCAUUCAAUAAACAGGAGAAGACAAGGCAAUACGGGCUCUUUUGUUAGAUAAACAUAAUACAUAUAAGAGCCACUUCAACAAUUUAAUUAUGGUCUUCUCCUAUCGACCCCCCAAAGAAAAGAAAAGAAACAAAACUAUUUACACGGGAAAGCUCCCAACAAGCAAAAGAAGAACAAGAAAUAUUUUUGGGUUUUCUUUUAAUUACUACUACAAGCAUGGAAAUUAAACUGAUUAAAAGCUACAACUAAUUUUUUUUGUUUUUCUUAAGGUUUAUUAAACACACAAUAAGAAAGCAUAAAAAGGAAAAUAAACUAGCAUGGAUGAUACAAUGAAAACGUAUGAGCACCGACAUCUAGCAAUGAGUGUGUGAGCAUAAAUGCAAUGUCGGUGGGAAAUACGUACUCCCCCAAGCUUAGGCUUUUGGCCUAAGUUGUUUUAUGGCCACGGCUGGCCUGGCGGAUAUCCAUAAUAAUAGUUGGGGUCGUACUGAGAAGAAGAGGAAGACUCCGAUUGCCACUGGCUGACAAUCAUCUCCGGAUCCCAUUGGUAAUUAGACUGUUGUGAAGGAUCAACUUGUGGUUCCGGCUCUGGCUUCAUGGCUGGUGCAGGGUUCCGGUAGGCGUGAAUAGCCUUCAACGGAACAAGGUACUGGCCUACAGAUAAAUCAAACAAAGAAGGAGCAGGCAGGGUAAUAGUCUCAGGAUGAUGUUUAUUAAAGAACAAUUGAUAUUUAAGCUCUCAUUCCCUAUUCUUAACAAUAAAAUCAUGUGCCGCCAUACUUUUAUAAUCUAGAUAAACAUGAGGCAUCACUUUUUCUUCCUUCUCAAAAUGCCUAAUAGGUAUGUUAAAAUGUGCAGCUGGGCGUGAAGCAUAGAUGCCUCCAAAGAUGGGGCCCUUUGUACGGUUCAGACUUAACCGUUUGGCAAUAAUGCCGCCCAUACUAACAGAGUUAUCACCAUAUAAACCAUGGAGCAAAAUAAUAAUAUCAGGGAUACUAAGGUUUCCACAGUUUUCGCGACCAAUUAAGCAACGACUAGCAAAUAGUGCAAAAUAACGUAAAACAGGAAAAUGUAUGCUAGUGAUUCGUGCAUCGGAAACCUUCCUUGUUUCCCCUACAGUGAUAGUAUCAAUAAACCCCUCCACAUCAUUGCGAUGUGGUUCUUCUGUCUUUCCCUUAAAAGGGACUAAACAAACCCAAUAAAAAUCAUAAAGUGACAUCUCCUUAUGCUCAUCAUAUAAAUAAAACUCCACCAUAGGUGGUGAGCUCCUAGAAUGGAAAUGAAAGUUUUGCACAAAUAUAUUUGUGAGUAAGAGAUACUGAUCGCAUUGGUCGUGGAGGAAAACGGUGAGGCCUGCAUUCUUAGCCAAUUCAUGAAAAUCUUCAUAAAUCUCGGCUGCUCUCAAGAAAUCAUCAGAAGGUCGUUCACACGCCUGAACCUCCGCGGUGCGAGGUAGAUUAUACUUAGGAUUUGGUGCCUUUUCCUUCGAGCUUUGGCUCGAUGAGCCCCUCAAAAGUCUCCUCAUCAUUUUCUGAAAAAUUCUGAAAUUUUUUAGUAACUUCAAAAUAAAAGUAAACCAAACUCAAUAAUAUUGAUAUCAACUACUCCUACAAGUGCCUAGGGCCUAUAUCAUGCAUCAAAACUACUUUUGACCAUAUAAAUUUGACAUGCAAGCUCAAGAACAGGGUCACCUAAGCAGCAAAAAUUUGCAAUGAAUAAAGCACUAGAAAAAAAA